Molecule: ribosomal RNA, 165 nt
Filed under: uncultured bacterium
Lineage: Bacteria
Description: partial 16S ribosomal RNA
Rfam family: Bacterial small subunit ribosomal RNA
Source: RNAcentral
GCUGUAAUGGCAGGUCAGCAUACUGCCGUGAAUACGUUCCCGGGCCUUGUACACACCGCCCGUCACACCAUGAGAGUUGGAGAUACCCGAAGCCUAUGAGCUAACUUUUAGAGGCAGUAGUCGAAGGUAGAAUCAAUGAUUGGGGUGAAGUCGUAACAAGGUAAC